Molecule: long non-coding RNA, 1501 nt
Filed under: Marmota monax (woodchuck)
Lineage: Eukaryota; Metazoa; Chordata; Mammalia; Rodentia; Sciuridae
Source: RNAcentral
UGGUUUAUUCUCAUUUCUCUUUUCACUUAAAUAACUCAGUUGCCUCUAAUCUAUUGUUAAACCCAUUGAUGUUUUGCUUUUUUGUGUUUUGUUUUUGUUUUGAGAUAGAAUCUCACUCUUGCCCACACUAGCCUUGACCUCAUGUGCUGAAGUGAUCCUCCUGCCUCAGUCUCAGCAUGUAGCUGGGACUAUAGGCAUGUGCCACUAUGUCCAUUUAUCUUUUGUUAUUUGUUGCAGUUGUAUUUGUAUAAGUUCUUUUUCAUAUUUUUCUCCCAUCUUCUAUGUUUCUUUUAUAUUUUGAAGAUACUUUCAAACUUGUAUUUUAAUCUGAAAACAGUUUCAAAUCUAUUUUAUUUCAACACAAGUAUGUGUGUCUGAUACUUCCUAGAUUUGUUUAUUGUGCUGUUUUGUGGUGAGUUUUUAGAUUAAAUUUAUUUCUUUUUGUGGGGUGUUGGGAAUUGACCCCAACACAUGCUAGGCAAGCACUCUACCACUCAGCUACACCUCCAGCCUAUGAUGGCUUUUUAUUUAUCAUGUGUUGCCCAUUCUAUUUGAGAAAUUAUUUGUAGAAACAAUCAGAAAUCUAAGGAUGUAAAAAGCAAGUGGAUUGGUUCAGAGAUAGAGUACACACUGAGGACCAACUUCUUAACAUACUAACUAUUGGGGGAUACACAUAAAAUCAAAAUUAUAGCAGUACUUGUUAUGAACUGAAUGUAUCCGCCCAAAAUUGAUAUACUGAAAUCCUAACCCCAAUGUAAUGAGUCCUUUGGUAGGUAAUUAGGUUUUGAUGAGGUCAUGAAGGUAGAUUGCUCAUGAUGGGAAUAGUUCCCUUAUAAGAGACCAGAGGGUGCUUGAUCUUAUGUUUUCCCCUGCCUACCCCACUCCUCUACCUUAUAUAUACAGAAAAAGGCAGCUGUCUAAAAGCCAAGGCAGCCCUCACCUGAUCAUGCCAGUACCCUGAUCUCAUUCUAUACCCCAGAAUUGUAAUAAACAAAUUUAUUUAACCUACGUAGCUUAUGAUAUUUUAUUAUAUCAGCCUCAGCUAAGAUAUUAAAUGAUUUUCAUUUAUUUCUGGCAGGCAGCUAAGGCCUUGACUAUUCUCACCUUAGUUCUGUGAUUGAAAUUCUCUUAAUUAUUUAGGUAAGGAAACUGGGUAAUCCCUUUAGCAUGUGGCUCUGUAGACCCCUUUAAUGAGAUAAUAAUGGCAUCAGAGACCCCAUCUGGAGUUGAAUCUACAUUUUUUUUACUUCUCUGUCAUUUGUCCUUAUACGGUCAUCAAAAGUUCUAGGCUUAUCUGGGUUUUGAGCUUCUAGGUUUUUGUCAGGCGAAUUUCUCAUCUUUUUAGUUAUCUAGUGCUUUCCAGUUUAAAAAAAAAUACUUCACCCUUCUUCUUAAUUGUUUUCAGAAGUAUAGUUUUGAAUUACCUAGGCCACAGUUGUAAGCAAAAGCAAGAAUGUACACAAUAAAAGUAAGUGCCGCCAGGCGCAUGCCUAUAAUCCUA